CUACGGGUUGCACCAGUGGGGAAUAUUGGACAAUGGACCAAAAGUCUGAUCCAGCAAUUCUGUGUGUUUGAUGAAGGCCUUCGGGUUGUAAAGAACUUUAAGUAGGGAAGAAGAAAGUGACGGUACCUGCAGAAUAAGCGACGGCUAAAUACGUGCCAGCAGCCGCGGUAAUACGUAUGUCGCAAGCGUUAUCCGGAAUUAUUGGGCAUAAAGCGCGUCUAGGCGGUUUACUAAGUCUGAUGUGAAAAUGCGGGGCUCAACUCCGUAUUGCGUUGGAAACUGGUAGACUAGAGUAUUGGAGAGGUAGGCGGAACUACAAGUGUAGAGGUGAAAUUCGUAGAUAUUUGUAGGAAUGCCAAUGACGAAGGUAGCUUACUGGACAAAUACUGACGCUGAAGCGCGAAAGCUAGGGGAGCAAACAGGAUUAGAUACCCCGGUAGUC
This 442-nucleotide ribosomal RNA is filed under the name uncultured bacterium. RNAcentral describes it as "partial 16S ribosomal RNA". It matches the Rfam family "Bacterial small subunit ribosomal RNA", at positions 339 to 795 of the family's 1533-position model. The record is from RNAcentral.